CCAGCAUCCUCCUGCCAUCUGAACACAGCUGAUACAGUUCUGCUGCUGCACUUCACAAUCUCACUCUUCUCAACAGGGAUGUCGUUGAGCAACAGGAUGAAGAAGACCUUGAUGAUGCCUCUCUGAACCACAUAACCUUGAAGCUAGAGCAGGGGAACACAUGCAGGACAAUCUGACUGCUGUGUCUGCUCCAAACUUUCGUGUGCCUGCACCCCAUGAGCACGACUACCGGAAAAACAUUUACACAGAGUUUACAAAUGCUCUCACUGGCUCUGGGGUCACUGAGGAUGAAGACACCACAGCAGCAUCUGGUCCUGAUGAGACAGUCCUGCUCCACCACAAAAGAUCUGCAGCAAAUGCACAGAAAUCAAGAAUAAGAAAAGAUGUG
This is a long non-coding RNA of Carassius carassius (crucian carp), 388 nucleotides long. RefSeq lists it as uncharacterized. The record is from RefSeq and is a predicted model, not a curated record. The transcript has 3 exons. NCBI's taxonomy places the organism in Eukaryota, Metazoa, Chordata, Actinopteri, Cypriniformes, Cyprinidae.